UGUAAAUUGACCAUAUGCGAGAGAAGGAAGGAAUUGCAGUUUUAUUCCACAUCAAGAUCAUAUCUUCGUAUGCCUAACUACUGCCUGCGUAACUAUACAUAGUAAAAUAUUAUAAGAAAAAUACCAUUCAACGUUGAUGAACGAUAAUCGAAGAACAAUAAUGCAUUUUCCAAGGACAAUGACAUUACGAAUUUUGUCAUUCCUCCAACUAGGUAGGGUACUCGAUGUACGUAGACAUAUAUGGAACAAUUGAUCAAAAAGAUUCCACGAUGUUAACAUACCCUAUCAACGGUAUACCCCUUUAGCUUUCCUUUCACGCCUAAUAUAAUAUCUAAAAAUAUCCACACGACCGACCCACCAUCCAUACGUAUGCUGAUGACAGAUACCGGCUGCUGCUUCUGUAGGUACUGUACAGACGAAAGACUACACAAUUGUUUUCCUACAUCGUCGCGUCUACAGAGACAAAGUAUAUAAGCUGUACAUCUACAUAUGCGAUGGUAAUGCUAACGUAAGCUCCGUUCAUUUCAUACCGUCGUCGUGUUUGUGUAUAUUUAAUUCAUCCUCAUCUCGAAAAUACAUAUACGCGAUGAAGGUGGGUAGCACAGCCACAGACUUGCAGUCUGCCGGUUUCCUUCUGACAACAACGUGUCUAAUUUGACGGUCUUUUCCAUCGUGGUUGUCAGAAGAAAACCGGCAGACUGCAAGUCUGUGCACGAUAGGUAUAAUACAUGGAAAGAAGAUGGCCAAUGGCGCUCUCUACUAUAUACGAUACUAUACGCCAAGUACUGCUGUUUUACUACAGCCACGACGGCUGCCUGCUUGUUCACUAUAUCGUAAGAGUUUUUCCUGCUCUGCUCCAUCGUGUACGUAUUGUUACUACACCAAUAACCUAAUUACUGUGAAGACCUCCGUGGUCUACUAUUAAAUAAUUUAAAACCAUAAUAAAAUACAGAAGGUUAUUUACCUCGUGUAGUUCAA
Planococcus citri (citrus mealybug) is the source of this 978-nucleotide long non-coding RNA. RefSeq lists it as uncharacterized. The record is from RefSeq and is a predicted model, not a curated record. The transcript has 2 exons. Lineage: Eukaryota; Metazoa; Arthropoda; Insecta; Hemiptera; Pseudococcidae.